GGGAAUGUAGUUCAGUGGUAGAAUAUUUGGCCUAACAAGUGGCAAGGCUCUGGAUUCAAUUCCCAGUACUGUUA
This 74-nucleotide transfer RNA is filed under the name Marmota monax (woodchuck). Its description in RNAcentral is "tRNA.Val". Lineage: Eukaryota; Metazoa; Chordata; Mammalia; Rodentia; Sciuridae. The record is from RNAcentral.